RNAcentral lists this ribosomal RNA (198 nucleotides) under uncultured bacterium. RNAcentral describes it as "partial 16S ribosomal RNA". It matches the Rfam family "Bacterial small subunit ribosomal RNA", at positions 328 to 539 of the family's 1533-position model. The record is from RNAcentral.
ACGCUCGACACCUACGGGAGGCAGCAGUGGGGAAUAUUGCACAAUGGGGGAAACCCUGAUGCAGCGACGCCGCGUGAAGGAAGAAGUAUCUCGGUAUGUAAACUUCUAUCAGCAGGGAAGAAAAUGACGGUACCUGACUAAGAAGCCCCGGCUAACUACGUGCCAGUAGCUGCGGUAAUCUGAGCGGGCUGGCAAGGC